UGUAAAUGCAUUUGAUCAAUUGAUAUUCAAAUUGGCUAGAAUUUAAAGUAAUUGCCUAAACUGUAAUCCCAAAAUUCUAACCUAAAUUCUCAAAACCCUUCAUCCCAAUUUAACCCAAUUAAAACAGCCCCUAGCGUCCCAAAUCUCCCAUCAAUAUUCCUCAUCCCAAUACCUAAACCACUCUAAUCCAGUACUCCUUUUUAGUUGGCCCAAACCAAAUACCUAAUCCGGCCCAUUUUCCCAUUUUCCUCUUCUAUAUCAGAAACAACCGCUUGAAUGAUUGAGAGGGGUGGGUCCCAAGAUCGUGACAAAGCCAACAAACCCUUCUCGACCAGCCUUGAACCGACUCGUGACCUGCUCGUUCUUAGCCUUCACCAUACGUCCCGUGUAAACCCGUUUGUGAAAGCCUGGAAGCUGUUAAAAAUUGGUGAGAUGGCUCCUCCAAUGGAUUGAUUCCGCAAAUCUCGGUUACCAUGGUACAAAUUCGUACCUAUCUGGUCGAUUCACAUUGGUUUGGGGUACGUCUUGUUUUUCUCGAUAGGUUAUUGGUCCAUCCAUUCAAAUUUGUUGAAGAAAAAUCCAACUAAGGGUACGGUUUGUGAGAGAGAGGAUCUUUUGGGGGGAUUCAAAAACUCAACCCCCAAUCCCUUCUAUAAGAACCCCUUUGGAGAGAAAGAAAAACGAGGGAUCAAGAAAAAGGGUCAGAAAUUUGAGGUUUUAGAAAUUGUGUUUAGAAAAAGCUUUGGGAACUCGAAUUCUAUUUCUUAGAAAUUUUAGGUUUUUGAAAUUGCUAGGGAGAGAUUCGAGGGUUGAAGAGGGAAAUCUUUUGAGUUUUUGAUUCGGAAACAGAGAAAGGAAAACUUUUGAAGUUUCUAAAUUUAGGUUGAAAAUCUUAGUUGAAAAUCUGGAGGGUUCCAAAAUCUCUAAGAGGAAAAAGCAAAAGAUAUGCUCUAUUGGUGAUCGACGUUGCGAGAUUCCGGUAGUGGCAAGUUUGCUGAUAGCUCAUCGUCCCAUCUUGCUGCCCGAAGGAGCAUGCACCCGCUCCGGAGUCCGGAAGUCUAAAUGGACUCUUUCUCUUUUUGCAUUUCAUUGAACGGGCCAAGAAGGCCUCUCCUCUGAGUCGAACCCCAAAGAAUGAUUAAAUGAAUUGCAUGGCGUACAAAUAUAAGGAGUUGAAAGGAGAAGAGUGGGUUAAAGUCCCCUCGAAGCGUCUAAGAGAUUUGAACGUCUCAUUGGCUUAUUUAUUCAUUCUGUGGUUGUAUUUAUUUAUUUAGUUUGUUAUUUAUUCAUCUCGGCCUCGAAGCCAAAGUUUUAUUUAAUACAGGUGGAGCAGAUUUAAGCCACAAAGGCUUGAAAACUAGACUAGGACAGGUGAAAUGGGUCAAAAGCCCAAUUAGACUAGGACAGAUCUUAUUGAUUUGGGCCUAAUGUCCUAAAUCCCUUACUUUCUCCCCUUUCUAUUUUUCUUUACACUUCUUUUCCUUAUGUGUUUGGCGAACCUAGUUAAAUCCUUAGUUAAGUCGCUAAAAAACUAGUUUUGCAUAAACACCAAAAUAUUUCCAAAAUCGCUUUCUUUUCAAAAAUCAAUCACUUUCCGACAAAUUAACCUUUUUUUGAAGUUAGUCAAAAGACAUUUUCAAUCAGUCCGGAUAACCGCAAGUUAGCGGACGUUUUAGGUGCCUGACUCGGACCUGUUCUAAAAAAGUCGAGGUAUUUCGAAUUGUUUGUUGACACGGACAAAGUCAGGGAAAACCUCUGAAAUUAUUUCAAUAUUGAACCUUGGACAUAUAAGAGUUCCGAAUCGAAUCUCUUUAGAAAGAAGAUCUUUUGUCUCAUGGUAGCCUGCUCCAGUCCCCUUACGAAACUUUCGUUAUUGGGUUAGGCUAGCUGCCUAUUGCAGGAGUUCCUGACCUGAAAGGACACCAGCAAGCUGCUACUGAAUGUGAACAAAGCCAAACCAAUAUGAUAUUCAAUAAGCCCACUUUUUUGAGAGAAAAAACCU
Long non-coding RNA from Capsicum annuum, 2002 nucleotides. RefSeq lists it as uncharacterized. Lineage: Eukaryota; Viridiplantae; Streptophyta; Magnoliopsida; Solanales; Solanaceae. The record is from RefSeq and is a predicted model, not a curated record. The transcript has 2 exons.